AGAUCGCACCACUGCACUCUAGCCUGGGCAACAGAGAGAGGCUCUGUCUCAAAAAAUAAAUAAAUAAAAGGUGGGGGUGCUCUUGUAACUCGGGUUUGGGCCCAUUUAGUCCUCAUGACAGUAUCUAUACUUAUUCCUGCAUCCCCAUGCCUAGCUGCCUUUUUCUCACCUUUCUUUCUGGGGCUACCACACCUUUAUCAGAUGAGAUCCUCCAACCUCUUUUUACCCUCAGUAUCUCCAAAAGUGCCACCUGGGUUGAAAAUGAGAAGCAAAAGCAUCUACCCUUCCCCCUCUUGCACCAAGGGUGUCCCUUAUUAGAUAGGAAUUUACAUAAUUGGUAAAAAUAAGAUAUCAUGGGCUGGCCACAGUGGCUCACACCUGUAAUGCCAGCAUUUUGAGAGGCUGAGGCAGGAGGAAUUCUUGAGCCCGGGAGUUUGAGACCAGGCUGGGCAAUAUAGUGAGACCUUGUCUCUACAAAAAAUUUUAAAAUUAACUGAGAGUGGUGGCAGGCACCUGUAGUCCCAGCUACUCAGGAGGCUGAGGCAAGAGGAUUGCUUGAACUUGGGAGGAGGAGGCUGCAGUAAGCCAAGAUCACACCACUGCCCUCCAGCCUGGGUGACAGAGCCAGACUGUGUCUCCAAAACAAAAGACAAAGUGCGUACAAGGCUCAGCUCUUAACUAUGACUGCUAUGAAUCAAGGAAAGACCCCUUCCUUGAGGGUGUGCUGGGAGAGGGGGAUAGAUGAGAGCAUACCAAGAGAAUCUGCCUUUUUUGCGCAAUUUCCCCUUGACUCAGCGGUCACACUUCCCUUCCCCAGCCCACACUUGUCCUCACCAGUGCCUGUAUUUAGAAAUGCAAGCCGGUGUUGUCAUAGAAAAACAGAAACCAGAUGGUUGCUAUGGAGAUUUGUUUAAAUACACCUAGAACAUGGCCCAGACUCUGGCAGUGGUUGACGGCACUUUGUUGGCUAUCGAUGGCUUUUUGUUUUAAAGGCUUUUAUCUUGAGAACAUGAUGUCUGGAGUUAAAGGUAUUGGCAUAUUCCACACAUCUGUACUAUUCUUGAGUGUGAUCGCUUAAGGUGUCAAAUUAAGAACCAGGCAGAUCCCCACCACCUACACUAUAAAGGACCCUAAAGUAAAUUGGUUGAAGAAAUUAGAUCCCAAAGAUUCUUGGUGAAUUUUGAAGUCUUCAUCAGUAUAUCCAUAUUAAAAGGAGCUGACAGGAAGCCAAAGUAAUUAUGCGCUGACAGGACAACUGGAUCAGUUUCAUUAAGAAGGCUAACUUGAAGAUAAAUCUUUUUACUCCAGCUCUUUAGAGGAUCUGAAGUGACCUUGAUGGACAGUGGAAGAAAUCACAACAUGGAAUUCCUUGAAUAAAAAUGUAUUGACUUUAAA
This is a long non-coding RNA of Cercocebus atys (sooty mangabey), 1395 nucleotides long. RefSeq lists it as uncharacterized. The record is from RefSeq and is a predicted model, not a curated record. The transcript has 2 exons. Lineage: Eukaryota; Metazoa; Chordata; Mammalia; Primates; Cercopithecidae.